Acanthoscelides obtectus is the source of this 82-nucleotide non-coding RNA. Lineage: Eukaryota; Metazoa; Arthropoda; Insecta; Coleoptera; Chrysomelidae. The record is from the annotation of a GenBank genome assembly.
GCAGCGGUGGCGUAGUGGUAGACGUUAUGGGUUUCCUAAUCAGUGGCCGAGCGCUGCGCGGGUUCGAAUCCCGUCCCAAGUG